AGUGAACGCUGGCGGUAGGCCUAACACAUGCAAGUCGAACGGCAGCACAGUAAGAGCUUGCUCUUACGGGUGGCGAGUGGCGGACGGGUGAGGAAUACAUCGGAAUCUACUUUUUCGUGGGGGAUAACGUAGGGAAACUUACGCUAAUACCGCAUACGACCUACGGGUGAAAGCAGGGGAUCUUCGGACCUUGUGCGAUUGAAUGAGCCGAUGUCGGAUUAGCUAGUUGGCGGGGUAAAGGCCCACCAAGGCGACGAUCCGUAGCUGGUCUGAGAGGAUGAUCAGCCACACUGGAACUGAGGCACGGUCCAGACUCCUAAGGGAAGCCGGAAUGGGGAAUAUUGGACAAUGGGGGCAAACCUGAUCCAGCCAUAGCGCGUGGGUGAAGAAGGCCUUCGGGUUGUAAAGCCCUUUUGUUGGGAAAGAAAAGCAGCAGGUUAAUACCCCGCUGUUCUGACGGUACCCAAAGAAUAAGCACCGGCUAACUUCGUG
Molecule: ribosomal RNA, 492 nt
Filed under: uncultured bacterium
Lineage: Bacteria
Description: partial 16S ribosomal RNA
Rfam family: Bacterial small subunit ribosomal RNA
Source: RNAcentral